RNAcentral lists this ribosomal RNA (286 nucleotides) under uncultured Methylomirabilota bacterium. RNAcentral describes it as "uncultured candidate division NC10 bacterium partial 16S ribosomal RNA". It matches the Rfam family "Bacterial small subunit ribosomal RNA", at positions 1060 to 1345 of the family's 1533-position model. The record is from RNAcentral. Lineage: Bacteria; Methylomirabilota (SeqCode).
UCGUGUCGUGAGAUGUUGGGUUAAGUCCCGCAACGAGCGCAACCCUCACCCCCUGUUGCCAUCAGGUGAUGCUGGGCACUCUAGGGGAACUGCCCCGGUCAACGGGGAGGAAGGCGGGGAUGACGUCAAGUCAUCAUGCCCCUUACGUCCUGGGCUACACACGUGCUACAAUGGCCGGUACAAAGGGAUGCAACGCCGCGAGGCAGAGCCAAACCCAAAAAGCCGGUCUAAGUUCAGAUUGGAGUCUGCAACUCGACUCCAUGAAGGAGGAAUCGCUAGUAAUCGC